Molecule: ribosomal RNA, 468 nt
Filed under: uncultured bacterium
Lineage: Bacteria
Description: partial 16S ribosomal RNA
Rfam family: Bacterial small subunit ribosomal RNA
Source: RNAcentral
GACGAACGCUGGCGGCGUGCUUAACACAUGCAAGUCGAACGGAAAGGCCCUGCUUUUGUGGGGUGCUCGAGUGGCGAACGGGUGAGUAACACGUGAGUAACCUGCCCUUGACUUUGGGAUAACUUCAGGAAACUGGGGCUAAUACCGGAUAGGAGCUCCUGCUGCAUGGUGGGGGUUGGAAAGUUUCGGCGGUUAGGGAUGGACCCGCGGCUUAUCAGCUUGUUGGUGGGGUAGUGGCUUACCAAGGCUUUGACGGGUAGCCGGCCUGAGAGGGUGACCGGCCACAUUGGGACUGAGAUACGGCCCAGACUCCUACGGGAGGCAGCAGUGGGGAAUAUUGCACAAUGGGCGGAAGCCUGAUGCAGCAACGCCGCGUGCGGGAUGACGGCCUUCGGGUUGUAAACCGCUUUCGCCUGUGACGAAGCGUGAGUGACGGUAAUGGGUAAAGAAGCACCGGCUAACUACGUG